This 207-nucleotide ribosomal RNA is filed under the name uncultured bacterium. RNAcentral describes it as "partial 16S ribosomal RNA". It matches the Rfam family "Bacterial small subunit ribosomal RNA", at positions 1294 to 1500 of the family's 1533-position model. The record is from RNAcentral.
CGGAUUGUAGUCUGCAACCCGACUACAUGAAACUGGAAUCGCUAGUAAUCGCAGAUCAGAAUGCUGCGGUGAAUACGUUCCCGGGUCUUGUACACACCGCCCGUCACACCAUGGGAGUUGGAAAUGCCCGAAGUCGGUGACCUAACCGAAAGGGAGGAGCCGCCGAAGGCAGGUCUGAUAACUGGGGUGAAGUCGUAACAAGGUACC